GAUGAACGCUAGCGGCAGGCCUAACACAUGCAAGUCGAGGGAGGAGCCUUCGGGCUUCGACCGGCGUACGGGUGCGUAACGCGUAUACAAUCUGCCUUUCACAUAGGGAUAGCCCGAAGAAAUUUGGAUUAAUACCUAAUGGUAUAUAGAUGUGGCAUCACCUUUAUAUUAAAGCUGAGGCGGUGAAAGAUGAGUAUGCGUUCUAUUAGCUAGUUGGAGAGGUAACGGCUCCCCAAGGCGACGAUAGAUAGGGGUUCUGAGAGGGAUAUCCCCCACACUGGUACUGAGAUACGGACCAGACUCCUACGGGAGGCAGCAGUGAGGAAUAUUAGACAAUGGUCGGAAGACUGAUCCAGCCAUGCCGCGUGCAGGAAGACGGCCUUAUGGGUUGUAAACUGCUUUUGCAGGGGAAGAAUAAGGACUACGCGUAGUUUGAUGACGGUACUCUGCGAAUAAGCAUCGGCUAACUCCGUG
This 474-nucleotide ribosomal RNA is filed under the name uncultured bacterium. RNAcentral's name for it is "partial 16S ribosomal RNA". It matches the Rfam family "Bacterial small subunit ribosomal RNA", at positions 28 to 507 of the family's 1533-position model. The record is from RNAcentral.